CAGUCGCCACGGGAAUACGAAGGGGGCUAGCGUUGUUCGGAUUUACUGGGCGUAAAGCGCACGUAGGCGGACUUUUAAGUCAGGGGUGAAAUCCCGGGGCUCAACCCCGGAACUGCCUUUGAUACUGGAAGUCUUGAGUAUGGUAGAGGUGAGUGGAAUUCCGAGUGUAGAGGUGAAAUUCGUAGAUAUUCGGAGGAACACCAGUGGCGAAGGCGGCUCACUGGACCAUUACUGACGCUGAGGUGCGAAAGCGUGGGGAGCAAACAGGAUUAGAUACCCGCGUAGUCCCUGUCUCUUAUAC
RNAcentral lists this ribosomal RNA (301 nucleotides) under uncultured bacterium. Its description in RNAcentral is "partial 16S ribosomal RNA". It matches the Rfam family "Bacterial small subunit ribosomal RNA", at positions 509 to 807 of the family's 1533-position model. The record is from RNAcentral.